RNAcentral lists this ribosomal RNA (211 nucleotides) under Escherichia coli. Its description in RNAcentral is "partial 23S ribosomal RNA". It matches the Rfam family "Bacterial large subunit ribosomal RNA", at positions 1573 to 1781 of the family's 2925-position model. The record is from RNAcentral. Lineage: Bacteria; Pseudomonadati; Pseudomonadota; Gammaproteobacteria; Enterobacterales; Enterobacteriaceae.
GGCACUACGGUGCUGAAGCAACAAAUGCCCUGCUUCCAGGAAAAGCCUCUAAGCAUCAGGUAACAUCAAAUCGUACCCCAAACCGACACAGGUGGUCAGGUAGAGAAUACCAAGGCGCUUGAGAGAACUCGGGUGAAGGAACUAGGCAAAAUGGUGCCGUAACUUCGGGAGAAGGCACGCUGAUAUGUAGGUGAAGUCCCUCGCGGAUGGA